Molecule: long non-coding RNA, 1134 nt
Filed under: Oryctolagus cuniculus (rabbit)
Lineage: Eukaryota; Metazoa; Chordata; Mammalia; Lagomorpha; Leporidae
Description: lncRNA (ENSOCUG00000036302.1)
Source: RNAcentral
AUGGCAGGUAGUGUGACAUUGGACUUGUUUUACAUCCUGUCUGGGCCCUUUGCCAUCCUACACCUGCCUGUCCAAAUCUCACAAAGCCUUCAACAUCUACAGUUGGAAAGGGUUUUAAAUAAUCGCUUGGCACCGUCUCACUUUACUCCCAAGGCAGCUAAGGUCGGGGUAUCUGGGUUUGUUCACCAUUACCUGACAAAGGACUGGCCGAGCGGGCACACUGAAUGCAGGGCUUCUGGUUUCCAGUCCCGUGUCCUUCCCACUGUCACUAUUUUGAGUCUCCCAGGCCUGAGCCCCUAUUGUCCUGUUAAUCAACGCCACACACUAUUGAACUCUUCAUUGUUUCCUGUGUUGAUCUUGUCUCCUCUAAUUGUGACAUUCUUGAGAGCGGGAGCCACUGUUUUAUGCAAACGGAGUCCAUCAAUAUUUGCUGAUGAAGGAAGAAACCACUGGGGGGAUGCUUCCUGGUCAUUUCCAAGAUGGAAACCAGCCUUGCGGAAAUGCAGAGUCCCCAGAGUGCUGGAAGGUGACAGGAAGGCUGACGAGUGUCCCGUGGCAAUGCUGGUCUCGCAGGAGGAGCUGCAGCCACCUCAGCAGGGCUGCGGACAAUCAAGUCCAGGUGGCGGCCCUGCCCGGGCAGCAAGGGGGCAGAGACAGAGCCGCGGGCUCACCAGGGACCUCUGCAAGAGCUGUGUGGAAAGGUGCGGGGGUCGGGGGGGGGGGCGUGCGGGGAGCUGGGAAGCAAAAGUUACCCAAGAUGUGCUGACCCAAUCGGGGCUCCUAAAAAGGUUUAUAUGGAAACCACUUCUCCUGCUCUCCCAUAUUGAAAACCCUGUCCAAAAUUCAUUUCCCAAGUACAACUGGGCAUGCAUUCGAUUCCUUAAGGAGUUCAUGGGGAACGAAGCCUCGGCUCUUUUCUUCCCCCAUGCAAAAAGCACGCUGGAUCCAGGCUUUCUCCUUUUUUUUUUUUUUCUCUUUUCCCCUGUUGCUCAAAUAAAUAGUGUUCUUUGCUCAAACCCCCUUCCCCUCCUCCUCUUGCAAUCUCAGCGCCUAGCCCAAAUCUGUUUUCUUCAUUGUAACCUCAGCUUCACCGCAAUUAAUUUUUUUUCCCUCUGGUCACAAGAUAAUUCCUGA